CUUGUACACCUACAAGGCUCCCCAUACAUAAGUGAUUAGCCACUGUGUGGUAUACCAGGUCGGGCUGAUCCAGCAUACUGUUUUUGCAUGUCUAUAGUUCAUUUUGAGGUGCAAGAGGAUCUCUUCAUUGUAAUAUAGAACAUGGGCUCCUUGAAAUAAAGUAGGAUCCCCAUAUCCACGAGAUAAGUAUCUGCUGAUUCACUUAUCCACAGUCUGAAAAUGUUAAAAGAAAAAUCCUAGAAAUAUAUAUUUCUAAAGAUGAAUUUACCAGAGCCAUCCAUUAGAGGGAAUCAGAGAUCAUGCUAGCUAUGGUGUUUGCUAUUAAAAUGGCAUUUGCCAUAAUCUGCAUUUAUCAGGAAGCCGGCUGGGAACCAAACCCCAUGGAUAUGGGAUUCUUACUAUAAAGAGUUAUAUUGGCUCAUACAAUUUCUCUAUCAGUCUGAUAUUUUCCUUCUGGCAGUAACACGAAUGGAUAUUUCCUUAGUCAAAUAUAUUUUUCUUCCAGAUGAAACUGCAGCAGCAGUUGUAGCUGACACCCUGCUCUCUCACGAAGUUUGAGGAAGCAUUUCUUGACAAGAUUCACAGUGAAAGAAGGGAUUAAGAGCCCAGUAUUCAAAUCUGGUUCCCCGGAAAGUGCUGGUGGCUUCAAUCAAGCUCUGGAAGACAUUUAAAAGCUGGGCAGACUUAGGUAUGCUAGUGAAGUACUAUAGAUACAGGAGGAAUAAAAAGAAUUGGAGUGAAACUCAUACAUUCAGUGGACCUCAGGUAACCAGAAGGGCUGUUUUUGUUGCUCAGAAAGACACUCAGAAAGAAAAACAAUCCACAUUUGGAUUUGUCUUCCCCACCCCAUAGGAGACUCAUGCGUCUAAGGAUACAGUUCUCCCCGAAAACAUGGCAGCGGAAAACCCCUCGUGUCAAGAGCCGUGGUUCCCAGCCAUUGUCCGUCAAAAUGUUUUGGAUUUCAAUUCCCAGAAUUCAUGCACUGACGCAAGAACACGAAGCUUGGACAGAGCUUGUUCUUACUGGGCCUCAAAGUCUUCUAGUUUAGGCCUUUUUCUCUAAGGUGCAUCACACGGAUGAGCUUGUAGGGUGUCCAUAUUGUAGGUAGAACUCCAGGAACGGAGAUUUAUGGUGUUGGUAGUCCAAAAAUCCCAU
Molecule: long non-coding RNA, 1155 nt
Filed under: Pogona vitticeps (central bearded dragon)
Lineage: Eukaryota; Metazoa; Chordata; Lepidosauria; Squamata; Agamidae
Description: lncRNA (ENSPVIG00000018320.1)
Source: RNAcentral